UACAGAGGUCUCAAGCGUUGUUCGGAUUCACUGGGCGUAAAGGGUGCGUAGGUGGUGAGGUAAGUCGGAUGUGAAAUCUCCGAGCUCAACUCGGAAACUGCAUUGGAAACUACCUUGCUCGAGGGUUGGAGGGGGGACUGGAAUACUUGGUGUAGCAGUGAAAUGCGUAGAUAUCAAGUGGAACACCAGUGGCGAAGGCGAGUCCCUGGACAACUCCUGACACUGAUGCACGAAAGCUAGGGGAGCAAACAGG
Molecule: ribosomal RNA, 253 nt
Filed under: uncultured bacterium
Lineage: Bacteria
Description: partial 16S ribosomal RNA
Rfam family: Bacterial small subunit ribosomal RNA
Source: RNAcentral